UUUUUUUUAUUUCAUCCCUCCGAAGUAGUAAUUAUAAACACGGAACAUUUUUAUUUUUGAAAAACUUAAACGGAUUUGACGAGAAGUUCAAAUCCGUUUCCAGAAUUCUUGUCGCUACGCACGAUUAACCGGUAUGUCGGGAUGAAAACGCGUCUAAAUUACCGUGUUGCGCGCGUGUAAGACAAACACGAUAAUGCUAUAAUAGUUUUGUGAAAAUGCGAUAGUUAUUAUUUACAACAUGAACACGAUUCGUUUUUUUUUUUUUUUUUUUUGAAACCCGAUUAUUAAAGUGCGUAUAAAGUGACGGAGUUCAGAAUAUUUCAAUUUAAACGUUUGAUGCCUUUUUUUCAAUAAGUAAAUUUCUAUAAUACAGAACCGUAAAACCCGUCAUACGCGUAGUAAAUAUUACAUUUAAAAGAAAAAGAAAAAAAAAAAAUAGUAAAAGCAUACCACCACUGGGGAGAUACAGUUCACUCUCGCGCUGCACGUUCGGAAUAUUGUAAUAAAAUACGGACAGGUCAAUAAUAUUGUGACUGAAUGUGCACAUACAUAAGUAUAUUAUACUAUAAUGUAUAUAGGUAUACCUAUUAGGCGCUCGUUUCCCUCGGCAUAAUUAAGUAUUCUGUUAUAAUUUAAAAGCGAAUUGCAAUGCAGAAAUAAUUGCAUUCGGAGAACUAUAAACGUUUUACGCGUGUAUAUAUGUAUGCACGUGAAACCGAGCGAAAUUCAGUCUACGUUAUACGUACUCGUGUCGUAUGUGUACAUAUGAUAUGCACGCAGGAGUAUAAAAUUGAAAAUAAUAAUUAUUGUUUUCAGAAAGGACGCUACACUCGAGAUUCGGGGCAAGAUUUCCGGUAUGAGAAAAACAAAAUG
Non-coding RNA from Cinara cedri, 873 nucleotides. The record is from the annotation of a GenBank genome assembly. NCBI's taxonomy places the organism in Eukaryota, Metazoa, Arthropoda, Insecta, Hemiptera, Aphididae.